RNAcentral lists this ribosomal RNA (756 nucleotides) under uncultured bacterium. RNAcentral describes it as "bacterial SSU rRNA". It matches the Rfam family "Bacterial small subunit ribosomal RNA", at positions 8 to 796 of the family's 1533-position model. The record is from RNAcentral.
AGAGUUUGAUCAUGGCUCAGAAUCAACGCUGGCGGCGUGCCUAACACAUGCAAGUCGAACGAGAAAGUGGAGCAAUCCAUGAGUAAAGUGGCGCACGGGUGAGUAACACGUGACUAACCUACCCUUGAGUGGGGGAUAACCUAGGGAAACCUGGGCUAAUACCGCAUAAUACCUACGGGUCAAAGGAGCAAUUCGCUUAAGGAGGGGGUCGCGGCCGAUUAGUUAGUCGGCGGGGUAAUGGCCCACCAAGACAGUGAUCGGUAUCCGGCCUGAGAGGGCGCACGGACACACUGGAACUGAAACACGGUCCAGACUCCUACGGGAGGCAGCAGUGGGGAAUUUUGCGCAAUGGGGGAAACCCCGACGCAGCAACGCCGCGUGGAGGAUGAAGUCUCUUGGGACGUAAACUCCUUUCGAUCGGGACGAUAAUGACGGUACCGAGAGAAGAAGCCCCGGCUAACUUCGUGCCAGCAGCCGCGGUAAUACGAGGGGGGCGAGCGUUGUUCGGAAUUAGUGGGCGUAAGGGGUGCGUAGGCGGUUCGGUAAGUCUUGUGUGAAAUCUUCGGGCUCAACUCGAAGUCUGCACUAGAAACUGCCGGGCUUGAGUGUGGGAGAGGUGAGUGGAAUUUCCGGUGUAGCGGUGAAAUGCGUAGAUAUCGGAAGGAACACCUGUGGCGAAAGCGGCUCACUGGACCACAACUGACGCUGAGGCACGAAAGCUAGGGGAGCAAACAGGAUUAGAUACCCUAGUAGUCC